UUUGCUGGCGACCGGCGCACGGGUGAGUAACACGUAUCCAACCUGCCCUUUACUCGGGGAUAGCCCUUCGAAAGAAAGAUUAAUACCCGAUGGCAUAAUGAUUCCGCAUGGUUUCAUUAUUAAAGGAUUCCGGUAAAGGAUGGGGAUGCGUUCCAUUAGGUUGUUGGUGAGGUAACGGCUCACCAAGCCUUCGAUGGAUAGGGGUUCUGAGAGGAAGGUCCCCCACAUUGGAACUGAGACACGGUCCAAACUCCUACGGGAGGCAGCAUG
RNAcentral lists this ribosomal RNA (270 nucleotides) under uncultured bacterium. RNAcentral describes it as "partial 16S ribosomal RNA". It matches the Rfam family "Bacterial small subunit ribosomal RNA", at positions 84 to 353 of the family's 1533-position model. The record is from RNAcentral.